AUGUUCCUCUACUCUCUCCCUCCUUUUCUUCCUCUCUCUCUCCCUCUCCCUUUCUCCCUCUCUCCCUCUCUCUCUUCCUUUCUCUCUCUCUCCCUCUCCCUUUCUCUCUCCCUCUGCCUCUCUGUCUCUCUCUCCCUCUGCCUCUCUAUCUCUCUCUCUCUCCCUCUGCCUCUCUGUCUCUCUCUCCCUCUGCCUCUCUAUCUCUCUCUCUCUCUGUCUCUCUCCUUCUGCCUCUCUGUCUCUCUCUCCCUCUGCCUCUCUGUCUCUCUCUCCCUCUGCCUCUCUAUCUCUCUGUCUCUCUCCUUCUGCCUCUCUGUCUCUCUCUCCCUCUGCCUCUCUAUCUCUCUGUCUCUCUGUCUCUCUCCCUCUGCCUCUCUGUCUCUCUCUCCCUCUGCCUCUCUAUCUCUCUCUCUCUCUCUCUGUCUCUGUCUCUCUCUCCCUCUGCCUCUCUAUCUCUCUGUCUGUCUCUCUCUCAUGAAAUAUUGCUUUCAAAAUAUGCAGACGUCCAUGUAGGAGGAAAGGGGGAUGGAUUUUGGUGGUGAAAAAAAUCAAAUCUUUUAAGAUGAAGGAAACAGACUGAGAAAGAUAAGAUGAUCAUUCCAGUCCCUUCCUGCUCUAUAUUCUCUGUUCUAAGACCCUUCAAGUUGGAACAUUCUCUUUCUAUGGUCUAGCACUCAUAGUUCUCUGGAUCCUUCCAGUUCUCACACUCUUACUUUCCAAAGUCGCAGAAUCGCUCCUCUGGAAUUGAAAGAGACCUUUUCCUCCAGUCCUUUUAAUUCAUUAGAGGCUGAGAAAGUUGAAAUGAUUUGGCUAAAUUCAGUUAGGUAGAUAGAAAUAGGAAAAGAUCAGAAUUCAGAUUCUCUGACUCAUAAACCCUACAUGCUAAAGUCCUUCCCAGUCUUCAUAUUCUUUGCUCCAAGGUCUCUUCCACUUAUUACAGUCUAUCCUCUGAGGCAGAGAAGUAAAACUCAAGGCCAAGUAACAUAAAGCUUCUAAGGGUGGCCUGAACCAAUUAGAAUGUAAUAGAGGAAUGUUUAACAAAAUAAAUAGAAGUAUACUAUAACA
This 1065-nucleotide long non-coding RNA is filed under the name Monodelphis domestica (gray short-tailed opossum). RNAcentral describes it as "lncRNA (ENSMODG00000039801.1)". Lineage: Eukaryota; Metazoa; Chordata; Mammalia; Didelphimorphia; Didelphidae. The record is from RNAcentral.